This 439-nucleotide long non-coding RNA is filed under the name Olea europaea (common olive). Its description in RNAcentral is "long non-coding RNA (OEUR_LNC003068)". Lineage: Eukaryota; Viridiplantae; Streptophyta; Magnoliopsida; Lamiales; Oleaceae. The record is from RNAcentral.
GCACAUCACCACCACAUCUCUCUCUCUCUCUCUCUCUCUACCAAACACGAACAUUGUGAUUUCUCUACAAUACACACGUCAUCAAACUCUAUUACUAUUACGCUCAAAUAUCACUGCACCUCGCAUAAAGUAUUUAAAAUGGUUUUAAUUCAUAGUAUUGAUGAUCAGAGAAGGGAGAAACAGAAAGGUACAAAGAAAAAAAAAUUGUUGAAGAAUCUUCUUCACCCAAGGGAGUGAAGAUGUUGGCAUCAGGCGGAAAAUCGAUGAAAAAGGCUUUGUCCCUCGUUUAUUUAUUUAUGUGCAUUUGCUUUCCAGUAAGGGUUGUAAUGUAUGAGUAUGUUGAUUAUAACUUCAAUCUGGAUUUUGUGACUUGAUUUGUGUACCGUGUGACCUAUGUCGAGUAAUAUGUGACCUGAUUUAGGUAUUGUGUGACCGGAAU